GCCGGGAUAGCUCAGUUGGUAGAGCAGAGGAC
Molecule: non-coding RNA, 32 nt
Filed under: Drosophila melanogaster (fruit fly)
Lineage: Eukaryota; Metazoa; Arthropoda; Insecta; Diptera; Drosophilidae
Also listed under: 28 other names
Source: RNAcentral